ACUGCCAUGAGACUGCAGAUGCAUGCAGC
Molecule: small RNA, 29 nt
Filed under: Bombyx mori (domestic silkworm)
Lineage: Eukaryota; Metazoa; Arthropoda; Insecta; Lepidoptera; Bombycidae
Description: ovarian small RNA-11696
Source: RNAcentral